UUUCCAUAGUAACCUGAUCAAGUGGUGCAAUUUAGCAAACUGAGGAUUUUCAUACCCCCCCCAGAAUGACAUCUGACAGCAUCAAAAUAUAGUUGACUGUGGACGUUCCAGAAUAACACCUUCAAGGUGCAACAGCGCACAGCUUUGAAACUGACAAGUUGAAGCUUUGAUUUGUAUUCUUCAGACAGCCUGGGUCCUUCAGAUGCUUCUUUUAAAGUGAUAGAGGUGGAUGACAGAAUAGGAACUGUAUGAAUGGUGACAGUCCAAGAUUCCCCUCUGCAUUCUGCCCUCCGCACUGACCUGUAAGGGGACAUCCACAGGAAAGACAAGCAGGUUCACAGAGGGGAUGUAACCUUAUUUAAAAUGGAAACCUGUGACAGAAGAUAGCAGUUGGAACUAAAGUAUUUGGUGAAUGUUUCUUUUUUAAUGGGUGAACUUUUAAAAACAAUAUGCUGGUUCGGAAGGUACAAGGAGUAAAUUGCAAAGUUUAUUUUCUCUACUCGAUCGAUGGAUUUUUUAAUCAUUCCUUGGAGUCAAUGAAGUUCAGAGAAGGCCUGUGAUGGAAAAAGCAGCGGGUCUGUGUGUUUGUAGUUCCCACAUUUUGGAUUAGUUUGCUGUCUUGCUGAACCGAUUCCGUUUUGACGGGCAGGGCGUGAAUGUGAUGGAUUUAUCUUCAGAAAUGAACAGACAUGGAAGGAAUCCAAUAAGUCACAAGCUAGAAGAUCAG
Non-coding RNA from Chelonoidis abingdonii (Abingdon island giant tortoise), 727 nucleotides. Lineage: Eukaryota; Metazoa; Chordata; Testudines; Testudinidae. The record is from RefSeq and is a predicted model, not a curated record.